UACGGAGGGUGCAAGCGUUAUCCGGAUUCACUGGGUUUAAAGGGUGCGUAGGAGGGCAGGUAAGUCAGUGGUGAAAUCUCCAAGCUUAACUUGGAAACUGCCGUUGAUACUAUCUGUCUUGAAUAUUGUGGAGGUGAGCGGAAUAUGUCAUGUAGCGGUGAAAUGCUUAGAUAUGACAUAGAACACCAAUUGCGAAGGCAGCUCACUACACAAUCAUUGACUCUGAGGCACGAAGGCGUGGGGAUCAAACAGG
RNAcentral lists this ribosomal RNA (253 nucleotides) under uncultured bacterium. RNAcentral's name for it is "partial 16S ribosomal RNA". It matches the Rfam family "Bacterial small subunit ribosomal RNA", at positions 524 to 776 of the family's 1533-position model. The record is from RNAcentral.